Molecule: long non-coding RNA, 775 nt
Filed under: Manihot esculenta (cassava)
Lineage: Eukaryota; Viridiplantae; Streptophyta; Magnoliopsida; Malpighiales; Euphorbiaceae
Description: long non-coding RNA (MESC_LNC007947)
Source: RNAcentral
GAGAAAAUAUAUAUAUAUAUAUAUAUAUAUAUAGAGAGAGAGAGAGAGAGAGAGAGAGAGAGAGAGAGAAUUUCUACUUCCAAAUUAACCAGAAGCUCCUUUUAGUAGAAAACAAAAUUCAAAAAAUAAAAGCACUAUAUCCUCUCACCCUCUCCAAACACCAAACUAAAGAAAAAGAGAUAGAGAGAUAGCAUAUCAAUAUAGAAAAGAACAAUUCUUUCUUUUAUCCAUGAUUUGUAAAUCAACCCUCGUAAUAAAAUUACAAAUCCAUCAUCAAAAAAGGAAAGGAAAAAAAAACUCCUUUUGGGUAUUGGAAAUCGUAGCAGCAUGAAACCAAACACAUGCAUAUGACACAUAUAAGAGCCUGUUGCUGUCUCUCUGUGUGUGUAUACAUACAUACAUAGAGAGAGAGCAAACACAGACAAAGUUAAGAUUAUUCAAUAUUGCAUCUCUGGGAACAACAUUAUAUGUCAAUUUAAGUACAACUACUAAAAAGAUGAGCCGAACUACUCCUGCUGGUUUCAGUACCAACUGAACAACUUCAAAGCGAAGAAACAAACUGAAUUUCCAAUUAUUUCUUUUCCCUCAACCUUCUUAGCAACCAAACAGCGUUUCAGAAAAAAAAUAACCACAAACACAAACAAUAAUUGGAAAGAAACCCAAAAAAGGAAAAAAAAUUUGCAAACCUUUAUUAAUGGUUUGAAGUCAAAGCAACAUAAGGGAGAGUUUCCCGCCUCCACAGGAAGCAAAACCAGAGGCAAAAAAUGCAACUCUC